GCGGGCGUGGCGGAAUUGGUAGACGCACUGGAUUUAGGUUCCAGCGCCGCAAGGUGUGAAGGUUCGAGUCCUUUCGCCCGCACCA
Molecule: transfer RNA, 85 nt
Filed under: Oryzomicrobium terrae
Lineage: Bacteria; Pseudomonadati; Pseudomonadota; Betaproteobacteria; Rhodocyclales; Rhodocyclaceae
Description: tRNA-Leu
Rfam family: tRNA
About the family: Transfer RNA (tRNA) molecules are approximately 80 nucleotides in length. Their secondary structure includes four short double-helical elements and three loops (D, anti-codon, and T loops). Further hydrogen bonds mediate the characteristic L-shaped molecular structure. tRNAs have two regions of fundamental functional importance: the anti-codon, which is responsible for specific mRNA codon recognition, and the 3' end, to which the tRNAs corresponding amino acid is attached (by aminoacyl-tRNA synthetases). tRNAs cope with the degeneracy of the genetic code in two manners: having more than one tRNA (with a specific anti-codon) for a particular amino acid; and 'wobble' base-pairing, i.e. permitting non-standard base-pairing at the 3rd anti-codon position.
Source: RNAcentral